RNAcentral lists this long non-coding RNA (523 nucleotides) under Anas platyrhynchos platyrhynchos (common mallard). Its description in RNAcentral is "lncRNA (ENSAPLG00000022445.1)". Lineage: Eukaryota; Metazoa; Chordata; Aves; Anseriformes; Anatidae. The record is from RNAcentral.
GCACAGCCUUGGUGUGUGUGAUGGUGGGUAUUGCCUGCAGACCACCCCUGUCAAACCUGACAUGUGGCCAUAGGAAUAUCUUUGUAAUUCCUUGCAGGCUGUGGCCUCAGAAGUAAGGAGUACGUUGAAUUUGCUCACGUGGGUGUCCCUGAGGAAGGUCAGAUGCCACAUGAGGAGCUGCAAGAACAACAGCUCUCUGAAGGCUGAUUGCCACCAAAGACAGCACAGGAGAGCUGAAAAAUCGUCUAUCAGUCAGAUGCAGUUGGAUUCUUCCUUGUCCAUAUCUUCCUCAGCUGUACCCUCUGGACUUAAAUCUGCUCGGAUGUGCCCCUACAGAACAUUUCAAACCGAUAGGACCUGCAGUAACAGGAUAGAAAAUGGUCCCCAGCACCUCACCCUACUCCUCUGCACCCUCUGCUCAGGCUCUGCCAUUUUUGCAGCCAUGCAUCAUAUCUGUCUGUGGCUCACAGCAUCAUCUCCCCCUGUUGUCCAUCGACAUGAAAUGCAGUGUUCUGAAACAUGA